AAGGAUCAUUACAGAGUUGCAAAACUCCCUAAACCAUCGUGAACCUACCGCUAAACAGUUGCUUCGGCGGGUGGCGGGCGUGCCCCCCCGGGGGGGAAGCCCGCCGCCGAGCCCGCCGGAGGAAAACCAAAACUCUUGUUUUUACUACCGGCCUCUCUGAGUAUACUUACUUAAAAUAAGUCAAAACUUUCAACAACGGAUCUCUUGGUUCUG
This 213-nucleotide unclassified non-coding RNA is filed under the name uncultured fungus. RNAcentral describes it as "partial contains 18S rRNA, ITS1, 5.8S rRNA, ITS2 and 28S rRNA". Lineage: Eukaryota; Fungi. The record is from RNAcentral.